Molecule: ribosomal RNA, 840 nt
Filed under: uncultured Planctomycetota bacterium
Lineage: Bacteria; Pseudomonadati; Planctomycetota
Description: bacterial SSU rRNA
Rfam family: Bacterial small subunit ribosomal RNA
Source: RNAcentral
CAAGUCGAACGAAUCCCGCCCGGGUAACUGGGCGGGGGAAGUGGCGAAAGGGGCAGUAAGGCAUGGGUAACCUGCCCCGGACUUCGGGAUAGCCCUUCUAACGAGGGGGUAAUACCGAACGCCGUAGCGGCGGGGCCUCCCGCUGCUACGAAAGCUCCGGCGGUCCGGGAGGGGCUCAUGUGGUAUUAUGCUAGUUGGUGGGGUGACGGCCCACCAAGGCCAAGAUGCCUAGCAGGUGUGAGAGCACGACCUGCGCCACUGGCACUGUGACACUGGCCAGACUCCUACGGGAGGCUGCAGUCGAGGAUCUUCGGCAAUGGGCGAAAGCCUGACCGAGCGACGCCGCGUGUGCGAUGAAGGCCUUCGGGUUGUAAAGCACUGUCGUGGGGGAGAAAGGCCCGCAAGGGCUUGAUCGACCCCAGGGGGAAGCUCGGGCUAAGUUCGUGCCAGCAGCCGCGGUAAGACGAACCGAGCGAACGUUAUUCGGAAUCACUGGGCUUAAAGGGCGCGUAGGCGGGCGGCCAAGUCAGGGGUGAAAGCCCCCAGCUCAACUGGGGAAGUGCCUCUGAUACUGGUCAUCUCGAGGGAGGUAGGGGCGUGCGGAACUUCCGGUGGAGCGGUGAAAUGCGUAGAUAUCGGAAGGAACACCGGUGGCGAAAGCGGCGCGCUGGACCUCUUCUGACGCUGAUGCGCGAAAGCCAGGGGAGCAAACGGGAUUAGAUACCCCGGUAGUCCUGGCCCUAAACGUUGGGCACUAGGUUGUGGACUUACAUGGGUUCACAGCCGAAGCAAAAGUGUUAAGUGCCCCGCCUGGGGAGUAUGGUCGCAAGGCUGAAACUC